Molecule: long non-coding RNA, 589 nt
Organism: Megalobrama amblycephala (Wuchang bream)
Lineage: Eukaryota; Metazoa; Chordata; Actinopteri; Cypriniformes; Xenocyprididae
Exons: 4
Source: RefSeq, a predicted model, not a curated record
AUGUUUCAACGUUGAAACAACUUUUGUUACCAGAUGAGAUGUAAUCUCUAGCGUUUGGUGCUGAGAUUCUUCAGGACAACGCCUUGAUGCCAUUCACACUCAGUACAUGAAGAAGAUUCACCAAACAUCUGGCUGAUUACUGGCAAUUUGCAGUAAUGACAGUGGACAAGUGAAGAGAGAGGAGGGGAGGGCAUCAGAAAGGAACUUGAGCUGCUGCGACUGUCUUGGAUAACCCAAAGCACAACUACACUAUGUGUCCAAGAUCCUGGCCUGUGUCCAUUCUCAAACUGUUCCACGAACCUCCACUGCACAAAAGGCAGUUCCAGGACAGAAAUAUCGGUACCCUCACUCUUCACCAGUCAUCACAUUCACAACCACCACAGUCAAGGUCCCUGGUCCACAGCAUCAACCAUCUUUGUAGGAAAAUGAUUACUGCAUUUCUUGAUGUAUCUUUAAAAUUGACAGAUUUCUUAUGGAGUGCAAUCCCUCUCUAGAUGAACUGAGGCCUAUCGAUCUUACAAAAUACUGUCAGACACUGCAUAUGAUGUUCUCAAAAUAAUAAAUAAAUUAAUAAAAUACUUAAGAAUUU